AGGUAUUCCUGGAUGGUUUGAUUGCCCCGUUUCAUUAGUGUUAUUUCCUCUUUGAGUUGCAUUGCCCUAGUUCGAGAUUUGCUAGCAUAGAGGGUGUUUAAUUUUUGCCACGCUUCCUAAGAAGUUUUGGCAAACAAAAUGAGAGGGGUGAUGGUCGUCGCAGUGGAUGCUAGGAUAGUACUUAGGAUUAGUUUAUCCUGCUUUACCCAGGGUGUUUUUUGAAGGGAGGAUGAGGGUUGGUCAGCUUGAUGGGGGCAAGGUUUUUCUCCAGUGACGUAGUUGAGGAGGUUGUACCCAAUUAGAAGAGCUUCAAAUUGGGCACGCCACUAUGGGAAGGUUGAGAGAGUAAGUUUGUCAUUGAUUUGUGCUGUAACGUUGAGAGCAAUCAAGGGGAUAUCUGUUGGGGAUGAAGAAUUUUGAGUGGGGUUAGAUGAAAUGGGGAUCAAACUCUCGUGAGAGAAUGGCUGCUCUGAUACCAUGAUGGAAAUUCAACAAGAGCAACUGAUGGAAAUUAGAGCAGUGUUUUAUUUCUCUGUAAAAAUGACAGACUUUACAACCUCCAUUUUACAAUGACUUGCGUACAUUUAAAUUCAAAAUCUCCUAUCUCUAUUUUAGGAAAUUAGCCAACAUUUUGCAUAUAUAAAAAUAGCAGGCUAAUUUCAUUAUUAUACAAAAAUAACAUUUAUAGAAAAUUGAUUGACUGUUACAGGCAUAAUUAUUGGCUAUCUUGCUGGUUUUGAUUCUUGGCUUGAUUUGUGGUGGCUGAUUUUUGCUCCUUGGCUUGAUUAGUGAAAUCUUCCUUCAUAUCAAACCUAAAUUACCAGUCUUCUACUUCGCAAACUAAAGCUCAUAUGCUCUUGCUCAAAACCAUGAGGAUCCAAAAUUGUAUAAUUCAGUCCAGAUACAAGAAUCUAAAAUAGUUAUUCUCCAGAAGCCUCUAAUAAAAACCCUUAAGAGAUGAGCAGGUACUCUCAGUUUGUUCAUUAACCUGGAAACUUAUGUAACCUUCUCCACUUUGUCCUCAAUGGCUCUCCCUCAUAUAUCCAGGUUCUCUUUAUGCACGGUUUUGACUAAUUAAAUAGGAGUAAAGUAGUCUCUAGAAACAAGGUAAAGGAGCUCGUCUGUCUUUAAGACUUCAUUACUAAAGCUUAGAGCGGCUCAUAGGCAAAGACAGCGAAGAGUUCAGUGGGGGUGAGACAAAUAGAUGAGCUUAAUAAGUCAAGAAACUGAAAAAUGGAAAACAGACGUGCAGGAGUAGGAUAGUUGAGAAGUGAAAAUGAUAAUAUAGACUGCAUAAAGGCGUUAUAGUGUUCACAAACUUCUUGGACCACAAUACUAUUGGGGACCAUCUAAUUCUCAAGCUAUGAACCAACCACAGAAUUUUGCAAACUGGCUUUAAAACUUAUUAACCAUUCUUUUGUAUUAUGAUUUACUCAUAACAAAUUCAACGCUGCUGAUUAUCAGAAGACUAACUGAAGUCUACAAAUACAAUCAUCACAUCACAACAGAUUCUUUCAUUUGGUUAUCCUUGACACAACCCCUUCUACACCGCCUCCCAAUGUAGAAUUUAGGAACAUCCCUGAAAUUUCCUUCAUCUCGUGGCCAACAAAAUGAAAGCAACAACUCUAUAUAUUAUUGUUGAACAUGAAAUAGUAAUUUUUAAUAUGAAUAUUUUCCUUAAAUACAACUCCGUGACACUUGGACUGGACUACAAAGUCACAUGACCAUCUUCAGGAGCAAGCAAUAGAACAGCCAGUCCUAAGGCCCCCAAACUGCCUUACACUUCUGCUAUAUUGUGAACGCCUAUUCUGAACGUUAAUCAUACACUUCAUCUUCUAUAAAUGAAAUUCUGUGAAUUUUUGAAGGAACAGAACAUACAUUUCCACUUACCUAGUCUCAAUGUCAUAAAGUUCCAGAUAUUCACAUGAAACACAAAACGUCAUGAAUCCAACACAAUCCAUACAUUUGCAUAACCAAAAUUCUCAAGAAUCCCAAUCCACAAAUUUCAUCAUCUCUCCCUAUGAAGAAUGUUAACUCAUCUAAAAAUUUAAACUGUCAUAGAUGUGAUGCACAUAUUUAUUUAAAUGUUUUCUUCAACACACUCAUAGUAAUAGGCCCAACGAGUGAUCAUUUUUCAUAAUUAGGUCUUUAGGAUCUAAUACAAUGUUAAUCGUUCCAUGUAAAAGUUUUAUUAUCUGUACAAGUCUAAAUAGGAACCUUUUUCAUUCCAAAUAUGUAAACAAUUUCAAAUGAUUCCUUGUAAGUUGAAUCUUUGGUACUCAAAAAAUAGGAAAUAGGUCAAUCUAUCUAUUCUAUCGAGUAUGGAGUCAACUGAAGUUGCAGACAAAAAGAACUUUAACUAUGCCACAGAAAUCCAAAUCCCAAACCCAUAAUCACCCUUGGGCACAUCAAAACCAACAAAAUACAAAUAUAUAACACCCAGGACUAUAAUAAACAGCAAAAUAAAGAGUAUAUAGGCAGAUUUUUUUACCAGUUCUUCCACCCGCUCCAGUAACAAGAACAGUACUUUUGUUCUAUUAUGUUGACCUCGUUUUUGGUUACGUUGAUGUGUGUUUGAAUUGUGAUGCCAA
RNAcentral lists this long non-coding RNA (2591 nucleotides) under Olea europaea subsp. europaea. The record is from RNAcentral. Lineage: Eukaryota; Viridiplantae; Streptophyta; Magnoliopsida; Lamiales; Oleaceae.